GGGGCUAUAGCUCAGCUGGGAGAGCGCUUGCAUGGCAUGCAAGAGGUCAGCGGUUCGAUCGCUUAGCUCCACCA
RNAcentral lists this transfer RNA (74 nucleotides) under Salmonella enterica. Its description in RNAcentral is "tRNA-Ala". It matches the Rfam family "tRNA". From Rfam's summary of the family: Transfer RNA (tRNA) molecules are approximately 80 nucleotides in length. Lineage: Bacteria; Pseudomonadati; Pseudomonadota; Gammaproteobacteria; Enterobacterales; Enterobacteriaceae. RNAcentral also lists the same sequence under 1 other name. The record is from RNAcentral.